UGGGGAAUUUUCCGCAAUGGGCGAAAGCCUGACGGAGCAAUACCGCGUGAGGGAGGAAGGCUCUUGGGUUGUAAACCUCUUUUCUGAGGGAAGAAACAUGACGGUACCUCAGGAAUCAGCAUCGGCUAACUCCGUGCCAGCAGCCGCGGUAAUACGGAGGAUGCAAGCGUUAUCCGGAAUGAUUGGGCGUAAAGCGUCUGUAGGUGGCCAUUCAAGUCGAUUGUUAAAGCACGUAGCUUAACUACGGAAAGGCAGUGGAAACUGAAGAGCUAGAGAACGGAAGGGGUAGAGGGAAUUCCCGGUGUAGCGGUGAAAUGCGUAGAGAUCGGGAAGAACACCAGUGGCGAAAGCGCUCUACUGGACCAGUUCUGACACUGAGGGACGAAAGCUAGGGGAGCGA
RNAcentral lists this ribosomal RNA (400 nucleotides) under uncultured bacterium. RNAcentral describes it as "bacterial SSU rRNA". It matches the Rfam family "Bacterial small subunit ribosomal RNA", at positions 355 to 771 of the family's 1533-position model. The record is from RNAcentral.